GCCUGGGUGGCCCAGUUGGUUGGGCAUCUGCCUUUGACUCAGAUCAUGGUCCCAGAGUCCUGGGAUCAAGCCCCACAUCAGGCU
Molecule: transfer RNA, 84 nt
Filed under: Canis lupus familiaris (dog)
Lineage: Eukaryota; Metazoa; Chordata; Mammalia; Carnivora; Canidae
Also listed under: 1 other name
Rfam family: tRNA
About the family: Transfer RNA (tRNA) molecules are approximately 80 nucleotides in length. Their secondary structure includes four short double-helical elements and three loops (D, anti-codon, and T loops).
Source: Rfam by way of RNAcentral